RNAcentral lists this unclassified non-coding RNA (233 nucleotides) under plant metagenome. RNAcentral describes it as "partial contains small subunit ribosomal RNA, internal transcribed spacer 1, and 5.8S ribosomal RNA". The record is from RNAcentral.
UUUCCGUAGGUGAACCUGCGGAAGGAUCAUUACUGAGUGAGGGCCCUCUGGGUCCAACCUCCCACCCGUGUUUAUUAUACCUGGUGGCUUCGGUGAGCCCGCCUCACGGCCGCCGGGGGGCAUCUGCCCCCGGGCGCGCGCCCACCGAAGACACCUAGAACUCUGUAUGAAGAUUGCAGUCUGAGCAAAAACUAAAUAAGUUAAAACUUUCAACAACGGAUCUCUUGGUUCCG